CAAGGGCAGUCGCCGCCUCGGGACGGGGCCCGGGAAGGGACAAUCGCCGCUCGAGCUCCCGCGACCUCAUAGGCGGCGGCGCCCACGUGAUCGGGCCUGUCACAGAAACCGCGGCGGCCAUCUUGGAAGAGGGCGGAAAGCCGCCUGAGCCCGGCCGGAGGGAGGGCGCUGGCUUUCCGACGGAGCACAACUUGGAGAAGCAGAAGGUGUGCAGUUCAAUGGCAUUGAGUGCGUUCACAUUGUUGCGUGAGAACUAUCACCAACAACCAUUGCUGGAACUUUUUCAUCUCAGACUGAAACUCUGUACUCAUUUAAACCGGAAUGCAGUUGGGAAGGUGUAACAGCAUCCCAGAAUCCCAGACUAAAGACCGUAUCAUAACUACUCACAGGUGGCCGCUCUUCCUUACUCAUCUGCCCAGUCUCUUGGUUGGUUGGUUGGUUGGUUUGGCCCAGAGAUUCCCCACUUAAAUAAACUGCCUUGAAAUACACCAGCAAUAAAUUCAAGAGAUCAAAACGUCAUUUUAGCAGCAGAGGGCGCUCUCAUCUCUUUCUCUGGAGGCCAUCAUAGCUUUAUUUCAGUGUUGUAGUUAUGUGACUGCUUGUGCCUGAGUUAUCUGGGGUGCUUAUUUAGAAUGCAGGCUCCUGAACCCCAACCCCAGAGACUUUGAUGCAGAACAUUUGGGUGGGACUGGGAGUAUGUAUGUUAAGUUAGCUCCUCUGCUGAUUCUAAGGCAGCCAGGGGCAAGCACCAUUGAUCUGGUCUAUGUCAAGUCUUCUGGAGGUCCUUGGAGCUGUGUGUGGUGCCAAGGAGAAUGCCUCACCACUCCCCAAUCUCUCUCCACCAACCUACUCCCUCUACCAAAUCCUGUCUCUCCUCCUGGCAUCCCUGGUCUCAUCCAGGGGUACCGCCUUUAUUCAGUCAUUCAUGCAUGAAAGUUGGAGAGACUUAACUUAUUCCUCUCCCCGGCCUCCUAAAACCAUUCCAUCUCCAAGUCUUAUACGUUUUACACUGAAAUGUCUCUCUCAUCUUUCCUCUUUUAUCUAUCGUUAUUGUCAUUGUCCCAAUUCAGGCCUUUAGCCUGGACCAUUGCACCAGCCUCCUCAUGGGUCACCCUUCAUCAGACCCCACUCAGAUGUCUCCAUCUUGGAUAAGCUUUCUUCAGUGCCCACAAGCAAGAAAUAGUUACUCUUUCCACUCUUCUACUGACAUACAUGAUAACCCUCUACCCUGGUCUGUCUGUCACACUGUAGAGAAAUCUUAGCCUCCUCCGUUAGUCUGGAAAGGAACAUGUCUGGUCUGAUUCAUCUCUGUAUGCCAUUUGCAGGGGCUAGAACAAAGAGGUCCUCAGAAAGUAGUGUGAAUGAAUAUUUUUUUAUUUUAUUUACUUUUGAGAUGGGGGGGGUGUGGAAGAGAGAGGGAGGGAGAGAGAAUCCCAGGCAGGCUCCAUGAGAUCAUAACCUGAGCCGAAAUCAAGAGUCAGAUGCUUAACUGAGUGAGCCACCCAGGCGCCCUGGAAUGCAUAAUUUAAUAGUUGUUUUCCACUUCAUUUGCCAAAUCUGGAAAGGCCAUUCUGUGCAGAGAUACUCAUGUGCAUUUGGCUUUGAAUCUCAAAGAUCUUCUGCCUAAGGGACUUUGGACAUGCCCUCCCUUCUGCCUAGAACACUGUCUAGAACUCUGCCUAUCUCUCCUUCAAGAUUUAGUGUAAAUGAUACAUCUACAGAGAUACCUCUGAUUUCUCUAUCUAAAUCAGAUCUCUUCAGAUGAAAGAACAAUACAGGAGAGAAAAACAAGAAGAAUCACAAGGCAGUAUACAUUUGAGUGCCAAAUAAGGCAAGGAGUGAAAAAAUUGUUUAGGAGUUCAAGGAAUGGAGAAGUUACUGUGAAUUAGGAGGCUAGAUAAGACUUCCUAUAAGAGAUGGAAUAUAAACUUUGAGUCUUCAAGAUGGUGUAAGAAUGAGAUAGAUAGAAAGUAGGUGGGGUGGGGAGCCUGGGUGGCUCAGUCAGUUAAGCAUCCAACUCUUGAUUUCAGCUCAGGUUGUGAUCUCACUGUUGUGGGUUCGAGCCCCACACUUAGUCAGUUAGGCAUCCAACUCGAUUUUGGCUCACGUUAUGAUCUCAUGGUUCAUGAGUUUGAGCCUCAUGUCAGGUUCUGCACUGCGUGGAGCCUGCUUGGAUUCUGUCUCUCUCCCUCUCUCUCUGCUCGUCCCCCGCUCACAUGAGCAUGUACUCUCUCUCUCUUUCAAAAUAAAUAAACUGUUUUUAACAAAUUAAAAAAAAAAAAAAAAAAGAAAGUAGGUAGGGUGGUCAUUCCAGAGGCUGCGGGCAGGACUGCCAUGAGCAGUCAUGCAGGUGGCCCAGGAGGCCUCAAAGUUGGAGGAAUCCAACUU
Molecule: long non-coding RNA, 2388 nt
Organism: Panthera uncia (snow leopard)
Lineage: Eukaryota; Metazoa; Chordata; Mammalia; Carnivora; Felidae
Exons: 3
Source: RefSeq, a predicted model, not a curated record